Molecule: ribosomal RNA, 256 nt
Filed under: uncultured bacterium
Lineage: Bacteria
Description: partial 16S ribosomal RNA
Rfam family: Bacterial small subunit ribosomal RNA
Source: RNAcentral
CGGGACGGGUGAGUAACGCGUGGAAAACCUGCCGUAUACUGGGGGAUAACACUUAGAAAUAGGUGCUAAUACCGCAUAAGCGCACAGCUUUGCAUGAAGCAGUGUGAAAAACUCCGGUGGUAUACGAUGGUUCCGCGUCUGAUUAGCUAGUUGGUGAGGUAAAAGCCCACCAAGGCGACGAUCAGUAGCCGGCCUGAGAGGGUGAACGGCCACAUUGGGACUGAGACACGGCCCAGACUCCUACGGAAGGCAGCAG